RNAcentral lists this ribosomal RNA (397 nucleotides) under uncultured bacterium. RNAcentral describes it as "bacterial SSU rRNA". It matches the Rfam family "Bacterial small subunit ribosomal RNA", at positions 29 to 430 of the family's 1533-position model. The record is from RNAcentral.
AUUGAACGCUGGCGGAAUGCUUUACACAUGCAAGUCGAGCGGCAGCGCGGGGCAACCUGGCGGCGAGCGGCGAACGGGUGGGUAAUACAUCGGAACGUGCCCAGACGUGGGGGAUAACUACUCGAAAGAGUGGCUAAUACCGCAUACGAUCUACGGAUGAAAGCGGGGGAUCGCAAGACCUUGCGCGAUUGGAGCGGCCGAUGUCUGAUUAGCUAGUUGGUGGGGUAAAGGCCUACCAAGGCGACGAUCAGUAGCUGGUCUGAGAGGACGAUCAGCCACACUGGGACUGAGACACGGCCCAGACUCCUACGGGAGGCAGCAGUGGGGAAUUUUGGACAAUGGGCGAAAGCCUGAUCCAGCCAUUCCGCGUGAGUGAAGAAGGCCUCGGUUGUAAGUA